UACGUAGGGUGCGAGCGUUGUCCGGAAUUACUGGGCGGAAAGAGCUCGUAGGUGGUUUGUCGCGUUGUCCGUGAAAACUCACAACUCAAUUGUGGGCGUGCGGGCGAUACGGGCAGACUGGAGUACUGCAGGGGAGACUGGAAUUCCUGGUGUAGCGGUGGAAUGCGCAGAUAUCAGGAGGAACACCGGUGGCGAAGGCGGGUCUCUGGGCAGUAACUGACGCUGAGGAGCGAAAGCGUGGGGAGCGAACAGG
Molecule: ribosomal RNA, 253 nt
Filed under: uncultured bacterium
Lineage: Bacteria
Description: partial 16S ribosomal RNA
Rfam family: Bacterial small subunit ribosomal RNA
Source: RNAcentral